UACGAAGGGGGCUAGCGUUGCUCGGAAUUACUGGGCGUAAAGGGCGCGUAGGCGGAUGUUUAAGUCGGGGGUGAAAGCCCGGGGCUCAACCUCGGAAUAGCCUUCGAUACUGGACAUCUUGAGUACGGGAGAGGUGAGUGGAACUCCGAGUGUAGAGGUGAAAUUCGUAGAUAUUCGGAAGAACACCAGUGGCGAAGGCGACUCACUGGCCCGUUACUGACGCUGAGGCGCGAAAGCGUGGGGAGCAAACAGG
RNAcentral lists this ribosomal RNA (253 nucleotides) under uncultured bacterium. Its description in RNAcentral is "partial 16S ribosomal RNA". It matches the Rfam family "Bacterial small subunit ribosomal RNA", at positions 524 to 776 of the family's 1533-position model. The record is from RNAcentral.